ACGGGUGUAGCUCAGUUGGUAGAGCAUCGGUCUCCAAAACCGAGUGCCGGGAGUUCGAGUCUCUCCACCCGUG
RNAcentral lists this transfer RNA (73 nucleotides) under Bacteroidales bacterium. RNAcentral's name for it is "tRNA-Trp". It matches the Rfam family "tRNA". Rfam says of the family: Transfer RNA (tRNA) molecules are approximately 80 nucleotides in length. Their secondary structure includes four short double-helical elements and three loops (D, anti-codon, and T loops). Lineage: Bacteria; Pseudomonadati; Bacteroidota; Bacteroidia; Bacteroidales. The record is from RNAcentral.